Molecule: ribosomal RNA, 253 nt
Filed under: uncultured bacterium
Lineage: Bacteria
Description: partial 16S ribosomal RNA
Rfam family: Bacterial small subunit ribosomal RNA
Source: RNAcentral
UACGGGGGGGGCAAGCGUUGUUCGGAAUUACUGGGCGUAAAGGGCGCGUAGGCGGCCAACUAAGUCAGACGUGAAAUCCCUCAGCUUAACUGGGGAACUGCGUCUGAUACUGGAAGGCUUGAAUCCGGGAGAGGGAUGCGGAAUUCCAGGUGUAGCGGUGAAAUGCGUAGAUAUCUGGAGGAACACCGGUGGCGAAGGCGGCAUCCUGGACCGGCAUUGACGCUGAGGCGCGAAAGCGUGGGGAGCGAACAGG